AUUGAACGCUGGCGGCAUGCUUUACACAUGCGAGUCGAACGGCAGCGCGGGCUUCGGCCUGGCGGCGAGUGGCGAACGGGUGAGUAAUGCAUCGGAACGUGCCCAGUAGUGGGGGAUAGCCCGGCGAAAGCCGGAUUAAUACCGCAUACGACCUGAGGGUGAAAGCGGGGGACCGAAAGGCCUCGCGCUAUUGGAGCGGCCGAUGUCGGAUUAGCUAGUUGGUGGGGUAAAGGCUUACCAAGGCGACGAUCCGUAGCUGGUCUGAGAGGACGACCAGCCACACUGGGACUGAGACACGGCCCAGACUCCUACGGGAGGCAGCAGUGGGGAAUUUUGGACAAUGGGGGCAACCCUGAUCCAGCCAUGCCGCGUGCGGGAAGAAGGCCUUCGGGUUGUAAACCGCUUUUGUUCGGGAAGAAAUCCUCUGGGCUAAUACCCCGGGGGGAUGACGGUACCGGAAGAAUAAGCACCGGCUAACUACGU
RNAcentral lists this ribosomal RNA (483 nucleotides) under uncultured bacterium. Its description in RNAcentral is "partial 16S ribosomal RNA". It matches the Rfam family "Bacterial small subunit ribosomal RNA", at positions 28 to 506 of the family's 1533-position model. The record is from RNAcentral.